RNAcentral lists this ribosomal RNA (254 nucleotides) under uncultured bacterium. RNAcentral's name for it is "partial 16S ribosomal RNA". It matches the Rfam family "Bacterial small subunit ribosomal RNA", at positions 524 to 776 of the family's 1533-position model. The record is from RNAcentral.
UACGAAGGGGGCUAGCGUUGCUCGGAAUGACUGGGCGUAAAGGGCGCGUAGGCGGAUUGUACAGUCAGGCGUGAAAUUCCCGGGCUCAACCUGGGGGCUGCGCUUGAGACGUGCGAAUCUUGAGUGGGGAAGAGGGUCGUGGAAUUCCCAGUGUAGAGGUGAAAUUCGUAGAUAUUGGGAAGAACACCGGUGGCGAAGGCGGCGACCCGGUCCUUGACUGACGCUGAGGCGCGAAAGCGUGGGGAGCAAACAGG